Non-coding RNA from Schistosoma mattheei, 45 nucleotides. Lineage: Eukaryota; Metazoa; Platyhelminthes; Trematoda; Strigeidida; Schistosomatidae. The record is from Rfam.
AUCCGGCUGUCGAGUCCCAAAUAGGACGAAACGCGCGUCCUGGAU